ACAUCUUCAGCUGUAAUUUGUUCAACUUUAGUUAGAACUUACCCCUCAUCCUGAAUGAAUCCAAAGGGAUGGACACUGUCUAGAUCCUCUGUUGGUGUGAUGGCUGCAGUAGUUUUUUCCAUUGGGGUGACUGUAGCGGUGUGGGAUAUUGAGCGCAGUAACACAACGAUGGCAUCAUCUUCAGUGCAGUCGCCAAGCAGAGAGCUUACCGAUAUUGUCCACCAAGUGAACACUGUUGCACAGUACAAGAUCCUGUCAGCGUGUGUUAUCACCC
Molecule: long non-coding RNA, 274 nt
Organism: Schistocerca piceifrons (Central American locust)
Lineage: Eukaryota; Metazoa; Arthropoda; Insecta; Orthoptera; Acrididae
Exons: 3
Source: RefSeq, a predicted model, not a curated record